This 303-nucleotide ribosomal RNA is filed under the name uncultured eukaryote. RNAcentral's name for it is "partial large subunit ribosomal RNA". It matches the Rfam family "Eukaryotic large subunit ribosomal RNA", at positions 40 to 320 of the family's 3401-position model. The record is from RNAcentral.
AUAUCACUAAGCGGAGGAAAAGAAACUAACAAGGAUGUCCUUAGUAACGGCGAGUGAAGCGGACAUUGCUCAAAUUUUAAAUCUGGAGAUCUUGUGUCGCAAGGCAGAGGUCUUCUGAAUUGUAGUUUUUCGAUCGGCUGUCACGGGGGCAGUAUUUGGGUAUAAGUUCUUCGGAAUGAGACAUCAUAGAGGGUGAGAAUCCCGUCCAUGAUCUAAAUACUGUUUCAACACGUGUCAACCUAUUGAUGAGUCGGGUUGUUUGGGAUUGCAGCCUAAACAGGUGGUAGAUCUCAUCUAGCUAAC